CAGUAAUACAAAGGGUUUAGUGAGGCACGGAACACAUUAUAGCGGAACACAUUAUCAUGCAGAGUGAGGUGUGGAACGCAUCACAGCAGUAGUGACACGCAUACGGGAGGCCGGACAGGAAGUGGCGCAGGUGGCGUCUGGGUUCGAGCGCAAACUUUCAUACACAGUGAGGGAUAUAUAAAGGAGCUGUAUCCUGACACAUAUGCCACCAGUCAGGAUCGGAGGAUCGAGUGGUCGUGGACAGUGAGUGAUCAGCAGUGGAGAAUACCGCACUGAGGGUAAACAUUCCUGAAUAAUGUAUAUAUAGUCCUCAUGAGUGGUCAUCUACUGUUUACCUUAAGCAAUAUUUCUGGCUACUUCCUGUCUGUAUAAGGAAUAAAGAGUACAACUGGAAUAUAAUUGCUAUGAGUUGCUUGAUCCAACUAAUGACACUGCACCAAUGAAAAUAUAUAUAAUCAGCAAGCUUUGGCCUGUUUGUUUAUUGUGCUUUUUAUGUGAUGUGCUAUAAUAAUAUUUUGUCAGCUUAUCUAUGUAUGAUAUAAUCUCUGUAUUCAUGAGAUGGAAUAAUCUUAUGUACAGUUAAAUUCUCCACUUACUCAUUAUAAUAUCCCCUGAUGAACCAUAUUAUUAUCUGACAUACAUGGAAA
Hyla sarda is the source of this 647-nucleotide long non-coding RNA. RefSeq lists it as uncharacterized. Lineage: Eukaryota; Metazoa; Chordata; Amphibia; Anura; Hylidae. The transcript is spliced from 3 exons. The record is from RefSeq and is a predicted model, not a curated record.